CCUACGGGGGACAGCAGUAGGGAAUCUUCCGCAAUGGGCGAAAGCCUGACGGAGCAACGCCGCGUGAGUGAUGAAGGGUUUCGGCUCGUAAAACUCUGUUAUUAGGGAAGAACAAAUGUGUAAGUAACUGUGCCCGUCUUGACGGUACCUAAUCAGAAAGCCCCGGCUAACUACGUGCCAGCAGCCGCGGUAAUACGUCGGUGGCAAGCGUUAUCCGGAAUUAUUGGGCGUAAAGCGCGCGUAGGCGGUUUCUUAAGUCUGAUGUGAAAGCCCACGGCUCAACCGUGGAGGGUCAUUGGAAACUGGGAAACUUGAGUGCAGAAGAGGAAAGUGGAAUUCCAUGUGUAGCGGUGAAAUGCGCAGAGAUAUGGAGGAACACCAGUGGCGAAGGCGACUUACUGGUCUGUAACUGACGCUGAUGUGCGAAAGCGUGGGGAUCAAACAGGAUUAGAUACCCCUGUAGUC
Molecule: ribosomal RNA, 465 nt
Filed under: uncultured bacterium
Lineage: Bacteria
Description: partial 16S ribosomal RNA
Rfam family: Bacterial small subunit ribosomal RNA
Source: RNAcentral